This 765-nucleotide ribosomal RNA is filed under the name Kocuria rhizophila. Its description in RNAcentral is "bacterial SSU rRNA". It matches the Rfam family "Bacterial small subunit ribosomal RNA", at positions 56 to 829 of the family's 1533-position model. The record is from RNAcentral. Lineage: Bacteria; Bacillati; Actinomycetota; Actinomycetes; Micrococcales; Micrococcaceae.
UGCAGUCGAACGCUGAAGCUUGGUGCUUGCACUGGGUGGAUGAGUGGCGAACGGGUGAGUAAUACGUGAGUAACCUGCCCUUGACUCUGGGAUAAGCCUGGGAAACUGGGUCUAAUACUGGAUACGACAUGUCACCGCAUGGUGGUGUGUGGAAAGGGUUUUACUGGUUUUGGAUGGGCUCACGGCCUAUCAGCUUGUUGGUGGGGUAAUGGCUCACCAAGGCGACGACGGGUAGCCGGCCUGAGAGGGUGACCGGCCACACUGGGACUGAGACACGGCCCAGACUCCUACGGGAGGCAGCAGUGGGGAAUAUUGCACAAUGGGCGGAAGCCUGAUGCAGCGACGCCGCGUGAGGGAUGACGGCCUUCGGGUUGUAAACCUCUUUCAGCACGGAAGAAGCGAAAGUGACGGUACGUGCAGAAGAAGCGCCGGCUAACUACGUGCCAGCAGCCGCGGUAAUACGUAGGGCGCAAGCGUUGUCCGGAAUUAUUGGGCGUAAAGAGCUCGUAGGCGGUUUGUCGCGUCUGCUGUGAAAGCCCGGGGCUUAACCCCGGGUGUGCAGUGGGUACGGGCAGACUUGAGUGCAGUAGGGGAGACUGGAAUUCCUGGUGUAGCGGUGAAAUGCGCAGAUAUCAGGAGGAACACCGAUGGCGAAGGCAGGUCUCUGGGCUGUUACUGACGCUGAGGAGCGAAAGCAUGGGGAGCGAACAGGAUUAGAUACCCUGGUAGUCCAUGCCGUAAACGUUGGGCACUAGGUGUGGGGAA